Molecule: ribosomal RNA, 305 nt
Filed under: uncultured bacterium
Lineage: Bacteria
Description: bacterial SSU rRNA
Rfam family: Bacterial small subunit ribosomal RNA
Source: RNAcentral
GGCGCAGCAGUGAGGAAUAUUGGUCAAUGGGCGGAAGCCUGAACCAGCCAAGUCGCGUGAGGGAAUAAGGCCCUACGGGUCGUAAACCUCUUUUGCCGGGGAGCAAGGGCCGGGACGCGUCCCGGCCCGGAGAGUACCCGGAGAGAAAGCAUCGGCUAACUCCGUGCCAGCAGCCGCGGUAAUACGGAGGAUGCGAGCGUUAUCCGGAUUUAUUGGGUUAAAAGGGUGCGUAGGCGGGCUUUUAAGUCAGCGGAAAAAAUUCGGGGCUCAACCCCGGCCGGCCGUUGAAACUGGGGGACUUGAGG